GAUGAACGCUGGCGGCGUGCCUAAUACAUGCAAGUCGAGCGAAUGGAUUAAGAGCUUGCUCUUAUGAAGUUAGCGGCGGACGGGUGAGUAACACGUGGGUAACCUGCCCAUAAGACUGGGAUAACUCCGGGAAACCGGGGCUAAUACCGGAUAACAUUUUGAACCGCAUGGUUCGAAAUUGAAAGGCGGCUUCGGCUGUCACUUAUGGAUGGACCCGAGUCGCAUUAGCUAGUUGGUGAGGUAACGGAUCACGAAGGCAACGAUGCGUAGCCGACCUUAGAGGGUGAUCUGCCCAGCUGGGACUAAGACCAUGCCGAGACUCCUACGGGAGGCAGCAGUAGGUGAUCUUCCGCAAUGGACGAAAGUCUGACGGAGCAACGUCGCGUGAGUGAUGAAGGCUUUCGGGUCGUAAAACUCUGUUGUUAGGGAAUAACAAGUGCUAGUUGAAUAAGCUGACACCUUGACGGUACCUAACCAGAAAGCCACGGCUAACUACGUGCCAGCCGCCGCCGUAA
RNAcentral lists this ribosomal RNA (515 nucleotides) under uncultured bacterium. RNAcentral describes it as "partial 16S ribosomal RNA". It matches the Rfam family "Bacterial small subunit ribosomal RNA", at positions 28 to 523 of the family's 1533-position model. The record is from RNAcentral.